GAUGAAGAACGUAGCGAAAUGCGAUAAGUAAUGUGAAUUGCAGAAUUCAGUGAAUCAUCGAAUCUUUGAACGCACAUUGCGCCCGCCAGUAUUCUGGCGGGCAUGCCUGUUCGAGCGUCAUUUCAACCCUCAAGCCCCAGUGGCCUGGUGUUGGGGACCGGCGACCUCGCCCGGGGGAACACCCCCGGCGCGUCCGCCGCCCCCGAAAUGAAUUGGCGGCCCCGUCGCGGCCUCCUCUGCGUAGUAGCACAACCUCGCAGCGGGAGCGCGACGCGGCCACUGCCGUAAAACGCCCAACUUUUUUUUAGAGUUGACCUCGGAUCAGGUAGGAAUACCCGCUGAACUUAAGCAUAUCAUAAGCGGAGGA
Molecule: unclassified non-coding RNA, 367 nt
Filed under: soil metagenome
Description: partial contains 5.8S ribosomal RNA, internal transcribed spacer 2, and large subunit ribosomal RNA
Rfam family: 5.8S ribosomal RNA (bases 1-120)
Source: RNAcentral